GUCGAGAAUCUUUCACAAUGGGGGCAACCCUGAUGGAGCGACGCCGCGUGGAGGAUAAGGUCUUCGGAUUGUAAACUCCUGUCAUGCGUGAACAAGGUUGCUUGGUUAAUACCUGGGCAAAUUGAUGGUAACGCAAGAGGAAGAGACGGCUAACUCUGUGCCAGCAGCCGCGGUAAUACAGAGGUCUCAAGCGUUGUUCGGAAUCACUGGGCGUAAAGGGUGCGUAGGUGGCGUGGUAAGUCAGAUGUGAAAGCCCGGGGCUCAACCUCGGAACUGCAUCCGAUGCUGCCAUGCUAGAGUACUGGAGAGGUGACUAGAAUUCUCGGUGUAGCAGUGAAAUGCGUAGAUAUCGAGAGGAAUACCAAAGGCGUAGGCAGGUCACUGGACAGUUACUGACACUGAGGCACGAAGGCCAGGGGAGCGAACGGGAUUAGAAACCCGAGUAGUCC
This 449-nucleotide ribosomal RNA is filed under the name uncultured bacterium. RNAcentral describes it as "partial 16S ribosomal RNA". It matches the Rfam family "Bacterial small subunit ribosomal RNA", at positions 354 to 796 of the family's 1533-position model. The record is from RNAcentral.